CUUUACUGGAUACCGAUAGCGUUAAUUUAGAAUGAUCGAUACUAAGUAUCCUAAUUCUAAGUUAAUAAUUUUUGUCGGUAGGACAGUUUAGUUGGGGCGACUACCUUUGAAUAAGAAACGAAGGCGAGCUUAUGGUAUUAUUGAAAUCUCAUUAGCCUCACAGUGAGGGGGACACCCCUAGCUGGCACAAGGACUCACCCACAUAGUAUAUAGUAUAUACGUAAUGGGNCUCCUAUGUGGGCGAUAGUGACCCGAUAUGAUUAUCCAAAAUAAAUAUCGAAAGCGGAUAAAAGCUACCGUAGGGAUAACAGCGUAAUAUUGUCGGA
RNAcentral lists this ribosomal RNA (326 nucleotides) under Narella sp. n. A MLT-2014. Its description in RNAcentral is "partial 16S ribosomal RNA". It matches the Rfam family "Bacterial large subunit ribosomal RNA", at positions 2099 to 2495 of the family's 2925-position model. The record is from RNAcentral. Lineage: Eukaryota; Metazoa; Cnidaria; Anthozoa; Scleralcyonacea; Primnoidae.